Molecule: microRNA precursor, 90 nt
Filed under: Canis lupus dingo (dingo)
Lineage: Eukaryota; Metazoa; Chordata; Mammalia; Carnivora; Canidae
Description: mir-8799 microRNA precursor family
Rfam family: mir-8799 microRNA precursor family
Source: Rfam by way of RNAcentral
GGGUAGCACCAGAUCUUGGGCUGUGUCCCUGGCACCCUGGGCUCCUGGGCCUGUGCUGUUGGAAUGGCGCUUCCGGCUGCGCGCCUCCCU